RNAcentral lists this ribosomal RNA (302 nucleotides) under Verrucomicrobiales bacterium. RNAcentral describes it as "bacterial LSU rRNA". It matches the Rfam family "Bacterial large subunit ribosomal RNA", at positions 2614 to 2925 of the family's 2925-position model. Lineage: Bacteria; Pseudomonadati; Verrucomicrobiota; Verrucomicrobiia; Verrucomicrobiales. The record is from RNAcentral.
GAACGUCGCGAGACAGUUCGGUCCUCUAUCCUCUGUGGGCGUAGGAAAAUUGAAGGGUUCAGACCUUAGUACGAGAGGACCGGGUUUGACGCACCUCUGGUGUUCCAGUUGUUCUGUCAAGGGCACUGCUGGGUAGCUAAGUGCGGAACGGAUAAGCGCUGAAAGCAUCUAAGCGCCAAGCCAUUCCUGAGAUAAAUUUUCCCUGAAGGAUCGUGGAAGACGACCACGUUGAUAGGCUGGGGGUAGAAGUGCAGCAAUGUAUGUAGCUCACCAGUACUAAUCAUCCGUUCGACUUAAUUCCU